UUUUCGGAUGGAUUUAAAACAGCUUAGUGGCGGACGGGUGAGUAACGCGUGGGUAACCUGCCUCACACUGGGGGACAACAGUUAGAAAUGACUGCUAAUACCGCAUAAGCGCACAGGACCGCAUGGUCUAGUGUGAAAAACUGAGGUGGUAUGAGAUGGACCCGCGUCUGAUUAGCUAGUUGGUGAGAUAACAGCCCACCAAGGCGACGAUCAGUAGCCGACCUGAGAGGGUGACCGGCCACAUUGGGACUGAGACACGGCCCAAACUCC
Molecule: ribosomal RNA, 270 nt
Filed under: uncultured Lachnospiraceae bacterium
Lineage: Bacteria; Bacillati; Bacillota; Clostridia; Lachnospirales; Lachnospiraceae
Description: partial 16S ribosomal RNA
Rfam family: Bacterial small subunit ribosomal RNA
Source: RNAcentral